RNAcentral lists this unclassified non-coding RNA (245 nucleotides) under plant metagenome. Its description in RNAcentral is "partial contains small subunit ribosomal RNA, internal transcribed spacer 1, and 5.8S ribosomal RNA". The stretch from base 1 to 54 matches the Rfam family "Eukaryotic small subunit ribosomal RNA", at positions 1778 to 1831 of the family's 1831-position model. The record is from RNAcentral.
AGAAGUAAAAGUCGUAACAAGGUCUCCGUUGGUGAACCAGCGGAGGGAUCAUUACCGAGUUAUCAACUCCCAAACCCCUGUGAACAUACCCAACGUUGCUUCGGCGGGACCGCCCCGGCGCCCUCGGCGUCCCGGAACCAGGCGCCCGCCGGAGGACCCAAACUCUUGUUUAAACCAUAGUGGCAUAUUCUGAGUCUCACAAGAAAAAUGAAUCAAAACUUUCAACAACGGAUCUCUUGGCUCUG